Molecule: ribosomal RNA, 502 nt
Filed under: uncultured bacterium
Lineage: Bacteria
Description: bacterial SSU rRNA
Rfam family: Bacterial small subunit ribosomal RNA
Source: RNAcentral
GACGAACGCUGGCGGCGCGCCUAACACAUGCAAGUCGAACGGAGCGCACCGACGGAAGCCUUCGGGUGGAAGAUGGUGUUGCUUAGUGGCGAACGGGUGAGUAACACGUGAGCAACCUGCCCUAAAGUGGGGGACAACAUCUGGAAACGGAUGCUAAUACCGCAUAAGACCACGAGGUCGCAUGACCUCGAGGCCAAAGGAUUUAUUCGCUUUAGGAUGGGCUCGCGCCUGAUUAGAUAGUUGGUGGGGUAAUGGCUCACCAAGUCAACGAUCAGUAGCCGGACUGAGAGGUCGAUCGGCCACAUUGGGACUGAGAUACGGCCCAGACUCCUACGGGAGGCAGCAGUGGGGAAUAUUGGGCAAUGGGCGAAAGCCUGACCCAGCGACGCCGCGUGAGGGAAGAAGGUUUUAGGAUUGUAAACCUCUGUCUUCGGGGAAGAAGAAGUGACGGUACCCGAGGAGGAAGCCACGGCUAACUACGUGCCAGCCGCCGCGGUAAUAC